Molecule: small nuclear RNA, 89 nt
Filed under: Salvator merianae (Argentine black and white tegu)
Lineage: Eukaryota; Metazoa; Chordata; Lepidosauria; Squamata; Teiidae
Description: U5 spliceosomal RNA (ENSSMRG00000005610.1)
Rfam family: U5 spliceosomal RNA
About the family: U5 RNA is a component of both types of known spliceosome.
Source: RNAcentral
AUGCUCUGGUUUCUAUUCAGAUCAUAUAAAUCUUUCACGUUUUACAAAAGAUUUCCACGGAAAGGAACAUUUAUGAGUUAAAAAAAAAG